CAGUAGCCACGGUAAUACGGAGGGAGCUAGCGUUGUUCGGAAUUACUGGGCGUAAAGCGCGCGUAGGCGGUUACUCAAGUCAGAGGUGAAAGCCCGGGGCUCAACCCCGGAACUGCCUUUGAAACUAGGUGACUAGAAUCUUGGAGAGGUCAGUGGAAUUCCGAGUGUAGAGGUGAAAUUCGUAGAUAUUCGGAAGAACACCAGUGGCGAAGGCGACUGACUGGACAAGUAUUGACGCUGAGGUGCGAAAGCGUGGGGAGCAAACAGGUUUAGAUACCCCUGUAGUCCCUGUCUCUUAUAC
This 301-nucleotide ribosomal RNA is filed under the name uncultured bacterium. RNAcentral's name for it is "partial 16S ribosomal RNA". It matches the Rfam family "Bacterial small subunit ribosomal RNA", at positions 509 to 807 of the family's 1533-position model. The record is from RNAcentral.